This 476-nucleotide ribosomal RNA is filed under the name uncultured bacterium. RNAcentral's name for it is "bacterial SSU rRNA". It matches the Rfam family "Bacterial small subunit ribosomal RNA", at positions 32 to 517 of the family's 1533-position model. The record is from RNAcentral.
AAUCAACGCUGGCGGCGUGCCUCAGACAUGCAAGUCGAACGAUUAAACUUUCCUUCGGGAAAGAUAUAAAGUGGCGCACGGGUGAGUAACACGUAAGUAAUCUACCUUCGAGUGGGGAAUAACGUCCGGAAACGGACGCUAAUACCGCAUAAUGCAGCGGCACCUUAUGGUGACAGUUGUUAAAGGAGCAAUUCGCUUGAAGAGGAGCUUGCGGCAGAUUAGCUAGUUGGAAGGUAACGGCUUACCAAGGCUACGAUCUGUAACCGGUCUAAGAGGACGGUCGGUCACACUGACACUGAAUAACGGGUCAGACUCCUACGGGAGGCAGCAGUCGGGAAUUUUGGGCAAUGGGCGAAAGCCUGACCCAGCAACGCCGCGUGAAGGAUGAAGUAUUUCGGUACGUAAACUUCGAAAGAAUGGGAAGAAUCAAUGACGGUACCAUUUAUAAGGUCCGGCUAACUACGUGCCAGCAGCCG